RNAcentral lists this ribosomal RNA (497 nucleotides) under uncultured bacterium. RNAcentral describes it as "partial 16S ribosomal RNA". It matches the Rfam family "Bacterial small subunit ribosomal RNA", at positions 28 to 507 of the family's 1533-position model. The record is from RNAcentral.
GAUGAACGCUGGCGGCGUGCCUAAUACAUGCAAGUCGAGCGAACGGACGAGAAGCUUGCUUCUCUGAUGUUAGCGGCGGACGGGUGAGUAACACGUGGAUAACCUACCUAUAAGACUGGGAUAACUUCGGGAAACCGUAGCUAAUACCGGAUAAUAUUUUGAACCGCAUGGUUCAAAAGUGAAAGACGGUCUUGCUGUCACUUAUAGAUGGAUCCGCGCUGCAUUAGCUAGUUGGUAAGGUAACGGCUUACCAAGGCAACGAUGCAUAGCCGACCUGAGAGGGUGAUCGGCCACGCUGGAACUGAGACACGGUCCAGACUCCUACGGGAGGCAGCAGUAGGGAAUCUUCCGCAAAGGGCGAAAGCCUGACGGAGCAACGCCGCGUGAGUGAUGAAGGUCUUCGGAUCGUAAAACUCUGUUAUUAGGGAAGAACAUAUGUGUAAGUAACUGUGCACAUCUUGACGGUACCUAAUCAGAAAGCCACGGCUAACUACGUG